Molecule: non-coding RNA, 201 nt
Filed under: Leminorella richardii
Lineage: Bacteria; Pseudomonadati; Pseudomonadota; Gammaproteobacteria; Enterobacterales; Budviciaceae
Description: GcvB RNA
Rfam family: GcvB RNA
About the family: The gcvB gene encodes a small untranslated RNA involved in expression of the dipeptide and oligopeptide transport systems in Escherichia coli.
Source: RNAcentral
CUUCCUGAGCCGGAACGAAAAUGUGUUUUUGAACGAAAGCGCAUUUUGGCUUUGUGGUUGUGAUGUUGUGUUUGCUAAUUGCCUGACAGGUGUUGGGCACGGUCGUUAGCUUCCUACCCCAUAGGAUUAGCGAUUAAUUCUGAACAUUUACCCUAUUUAUCAUAGUCUUUAUGUAGCACCGCUCUGGCGGUGCUUUUUUUU